CCUACGGGUGGCUGCAGUGGGGAAUAUUGGACAAUGGGGGGAACCCUGAUCCAGCCAUGCCGCGUGUGUGAAGAAGGCCCUCGGGUUGUAAAGCACUUUCAGUGAGGAAGAACGCCUGGUGGUUAAUACCCAUCAGGAAAGACAUCACUCACAGAAGAAGCACCGGCUAACUCCGUGCCAGCAGCCGCGGUAAUACGGAGGGUGCGAGCGUUAAUCGGAAUUACUGGGCGUAAAGCGCGCGUAGGUGGCUUGAUAAGCCGGUUGUGAAAGCCCCGGGCUCAACCUGGGAACGGCAUCCGGAACUGUCCAGCUAGAGUGCAGGAGUGGAAGGUGGAAUUCCCGGUGUAGCGGUGAAAUGCGUAGAGAUCGGGAGGAAUACCAGUGGCGAAGGCGGCCUUCUGGACUGACACUGACACUGAGGUGCGAAAGCGUGGGUAGCAAACAGGAUUAGCUACCCUUGUAGUC
RNAcentral lists this ribosomal RNA (465 nucleotides) under Vreelandella stevensii. RNAcentral describes it as "partial 16S ribosomal RNA". It matches the Rfam family "Bacterial small subunit ribosomal RNA", at positions 338 to 795 of the family's 1533-position model. The record is from RNAcentral. Lineage: Bacteria; Pseudomonadati; Pseudomonadota; Gammaproteobacteria; Oceanospirillales; Halomonadaceae.